This 2449-nucleotide long non-coding RNA is filed under the name Gossypium raimondii (Peruvian cotton). RNAcentral's name for it is "long non-coding RNA (GRAI_LNC001686)". The record is from RNAcentral. Lineage: Eukaryota; Viridiplantae; Streptophyta; Magnoliopsida; Malvales; Malvaceae.
CUAGCUGUUCCUCUCCUCUCUCUCUCUCUGAUUUUCUCUCUAUUUUUCUCCUUUCUUCUUCCUUGUGUCGUCCCUAGCUGAGUGAUUUUCACCACUGUUGUACUGCCUUAUUGCUCUAUUACCUGGUUACAAUUCCUCCAUCCUUAUUGCUGGCAUUUUUAAUCACCAAAUAGCCUCUUUUCUUCCCUAAAACCCUCCUUUGAGCCACUUGAAUCAGCCUCUCCUUGCUGCCAUUAAACCUCCAUUUUCUCCCCAUUUUCUCCACUCGUGGUGUACUGGUUGUUUCCUUUUGCUUCUCGAUUCUUGUUCUGUUGCUUGUCAAUUUUUGUUGCUGUUUUUAGAACCAUUUUAUUACUGUUUCCAGCCUCUAAAAUUCAUCCCCUUUGGAUCCAAAACCUAUUUUUGUGCCGCCCCAAAUCAACCACAUUCUUACUGCCGCUUGUGGUGGUGUGCGACCCAUCAGUGUACCACUUAUAGGCUACAAUUUUUCUCUUCUUUUUCCUCCCAUUGCAAUAGUGUUCUACUCAUUUUUCCUUUAUUUAAAACAACCCUUAAAAUUCUUAAUUAAGUCUGUAUAUGAUCCUAUUCAUCUGACAUCUCAGAUCUAGUUAUCGGGUGUAAGCGCAGUUCUAUGCGAGAUCUUGCGUUGUUUUGAUUUCACUUAUAGUUGUUGCCAUGGUCGAAUGCUCUGAGGCCAUAACGUGAUUUUCAGUUACUAAUAUUUAAGUAUUCUUUCAAUCUUAGGUACUUAUUUGAACGUGUCGAAUCAGCAGUAAAGUCGGAUUUCAUUCGUGCCCUUGUUUCGCAUCAAAUCAAUGUAAGUUACCGUGACGAUUUGGAUCUGAAAAUUUGUUGGUGUAACACUGAUUUGGCCAAGCCCUUAGGGGCUAUUUCAAGGCUAUUUUUAAUAUUAUUUUAACUCAUUAAAUGCUAUAAUUUGGUUUUAGACAUGUUUAAGGUUUUAGUGUGGUAGUGCAGACUUUGCGGAUUAGUGCUAGGGACUUGUGAAUUAAGGUGUGGGUCUUUUCCUUUGUUUAAUUAGUCUAAAAUUCGUAUAAAAUAUGUUUAAAUGAAAAAUUUUCUUGCUGGUUAUUGAAUGGCUGAAUGGCCUAAUUGCUAAUAAAAGAGGUGUCGAGCUAGGUACGUACACUAAUUGAAAGCUGAUUGUUAAAGGCCCUGUUGGGACCGAUUGUGAUCUGUAUGAGCUCAAUGUGAUUUAUGCCUUUGUGCUGUAAUUUGUUAAUACUAUAUUUGGUAUAUCAAAUCUUUGUUUGCUAAGUUCUAUUGAAAAUAUGUGAAUUGUAUGCAUGUAUAGCAUGCUGAAUUUUGAGACACUAAUUGAUGUGCAUGUCAAAUGCCAUGUAUGAUAUUGAGCUUGUAUGUAUUUAUAAUUAUAUACCUUAUGUGAAAAAGGACUGCAUGGAAAGGAUGUAUGCAUGCUACUGUUUCUAUAAAUGAAAAGUAUGCAAGGCAUAUACCGACACUGACUAUUGAUACGCAUGUUAAGCAUGCCAUUGUACUGAGAUUGAAAAUGAUAGCAUGGUUUGCUCACUAAUUGUAUGCCAUUUUGCAAUAUGCAUGGGGUGGGUUAUUGUGGUUUACGAAGGAGUUUCGUGGAGUAUCGGUAGUAGUUAAGGUUCGCAUUAUUAUUGUCAGUGCACAACAUCGGAAGUACCGAGGAGAUUGACGAUUUUAUCGCAUUAUUGGUAGCUUGUCCUCACUAUUGGCCAUUUAUCUGCAUUACCGAUACUGGUGGCUUGUCCACAGUACUGGUAGCUUGUCUGCAUAUAUAUUGCACUUUAUUUGCACUAAUGUACUGAUGGUUUAUCCACAUCGAGCUUCAGCUUACACUAUUUGGUAUUUGGUAAAUGGGUUCUGGGGAACUUGUGGUAUGUAACGAAUGUUAGGGUAGGAACAUUUGCAUUUCAUCAUUUGCAUCAUACCAUGCUCAUACAUCGAUUUGUUAAUUGCUAUGAACUUUUAUUGAUGGCACUUAUUAAUGAACUGCUAAGUUUGAAAUGGUUACUGUAUUGAUGAUUCUAUAAUUUACUGUAAUUGAACCAGUACCUGUGUAAAUAACUUGUUUGACUCACAUUGACCUUCAUAAGCUCACUCCCCGACAAUGUUUAACUUUUCAGGUAAACCUUGAAACUAGGACCGACCUCGGCAUACAGAGCGCCGCCUCAGACAACAGACUAUUUUUUAAAAUAAGUAUUAUUAAUAAGUCUCUAUUGGUUUUGGUUUGUAAUUUUUAAUGUCUUUGGUUUGUGUCUUGAUUAUUUUUUAUUUGGGGAGUUUUGCAUGCAUGGAUUACUUAAGCAUAAUAAUAGGGAAAUGCGUGAUAUUUGGCUUAAAUAAAAUUUGACAUUGUUCUCCAAUUUUAGCUUCAUUGUAAAGAAAUCAUUUUUGAAAAAAAAAAUCGUUAAGGCAACUAGAUUCCUAAAAGGAC